This 29-nucleotide non-coding RNA is filed under the name Homo sapiens (human). The record is from RNAcentral. Lineage: Eukaryota; Metazoa; Chordata; Mammalia; Primates; Hominidae.
CAGGAUUGGAGGUGCUCUCUGGAGUGUCA